RNAcentral lists this ribosomal RNA (830 nucleotides) under uncultured bacterium. RNAcentral's name for it is "bacterial SSU rRNA". It matches the Rfam family "Bacterial small subunit ribosomal RNA", at positions 21 to 895 of the family's 1533-position model. The record is from RNAcentral.
GGCUCAGGAUGAACGCUGGCGGUAUGCCUAACACAUGCAAGUCGAACGAGCUCUUCGGAGCUAGUGGCGGACGGGUGAGUAACGCGUGAGAAUCUGCCUCUUGGUUGGGGACAACAGUUGGAAACGACUGCUAAUACCCAAUGUGCCGUAAGGUGAAAGAUUUAUUGCCAGGAGAGGAGCUCGCGUCUGAUUAGCUAGUUGGUGAGGUAAAGGCUCACCAAGGCUUCGAUCAGUAGCUGGUCUGAGAGGACGAGCAGCCACACUGGGACUGAGACACGGCCCAGACUCCUACGGGAGGCAGCAGUGGGGAAUUUUCCGCAAUGGGCGAAAGCCUGACGGAGCAAUACCGCGUGAGGGAGGAAGGCUCUUGGGUUGUAAACCUCUUUUCUCAGGGAAGAAGAUCUGACGGUACCUGAGGAAUAAGCAUCGGCUAACUCCGUGCCAGCAGCCGCGGUAAUACGGAGGAUGCAAGCGUUAUCCGGAAUUAUUGGGCGUAAAGCGUCCGCAGGUGGUUACUCAAGUCCGCUGUCAAAGGCUAGAGCUUAACUCUAGAUAGGCGGUGGAAACUGAGAAACUAGAGUCCGGUAGGGGUAGCGGGAAUUCCCAGUGUAGCGGUGAAAUGCGUAGAUAUUGGGAAGAACAUCGGUGGCGAAGGCGCGCUACUGGGCCGGAACUGACACUCAGGGACGAAAGCUAGGGGAGCGAAAGGGAUUAGAUACCCCUGUAGUCCUAGCUGUAAACGAUGGAAACUAGGUGUGGCUUGUAUCGACCCAAGCCGUGCCGAAGCUAACGCGUUAAGUUUCCCGCCUGGGGAGUACGCACGCAAGUGU